CUCCUGGAACGGGUGGUAAUGCCGGAUGUUCCAGUUGAUCGCAUGGUCUUCUGGGAAGCUUUCGCGGUAUGGGAUGGGGUCGCGUCCUAUCAGCUUGACGGCGGGGUAACGGCCCACCGUGGCUUCGACGGGUAGCCGGCCUGAGAGGGCGACCGGCCACAUUGGGACUGAGAUACGGCCCAGACUCCUACGGGAGGCAGCAGUGGGGAAUAUUGCACAAUGGGCGCAAGCCUGAUGCAGCGACGCCGCGUGAGGGAUGGAGGCCUUCGGGUUGUAAACCUCUUUUAUCGGGGAGCAAGCGUGAGUGAGUUUACCCGUUGAAUAAGCACCGGCUAACUACGUGCCAGCAGCCGCGGUAAUACGUAGGGUGCAAGCGUUAUCCGGAAUUAUUGGGCGUAAAGGGCUCGUAGGCGGUUCGUCGCGUCCGGCGUGAAAGUCCAUCGCUUAACGGUGGAUCCGCGCCGGGUACGGGCGGGCUUGAGUGCGGUAGGGGAGACUGGAAUUCCCGGUGUAACGGUGGAAUGUGUAGAUAUCGGGAAGAACACC
This 546-nucleotide ribosomal RNA is filed under the name uncultured Bifidobacterium sp. RNAcentral's name for it is "bacterial SSU rRNA". It matches the Rfam family "Bacterial small subunit ribosomal RNA", at positions 147 to 710 of the family's 1533-position model. The record is from RNAcentral. Lineage: Bacteria; Bacillati; Actinomycetota; Actinomycetes; Bifidobacteriales; Bifidobacteriaceae.